CCUCCCCCUCCCCCGGGGGCGCCGGCGCGGUCCCUGGGGAUCGUUUUGGUGUCCGGCUGCGCGCGCGCGCGCGUGAGUUUCGAGGCCCCGAGACCAGCCCCUGGAAGUCCAGCAUGCCUUUACUAGUACUUCGGACCUCCCCGAAGCUCACGCUGGCAUCCCUGAUGGCUUUCCGGAGGGACUGGACACCGAACCCCCAGGCAAGUGGAGGAGGAAGAUGGAGCGCUACUCUUCUUGCAAGAUGCAGCUGAAAUUUCACCUCCUUUGUGGGACCUUCCCUGGCCCCCACCACCCAGAGGAAAAUCAGUGAUCCCAUGCUGGAAUUGCUGGCCUCUCGCCCACAGGAUUGUGAGCCUUUCUCAUAUCUGACACAUAUGAAAAGGAAUAUUGAUGAGUGAGACGUGUUUCUUGCCCCCUGGAAAAUUACAGCCUGGUUUGGGGACAUAAAUAAAAGGGGGCAAAUUCCAA
Long non-coding RNA from Eptesicus fuscus (big brown bat), 468 nucleotides. RefSeq lists it as uncharacterized. The record is from RefSeq and is a predicted model, not a curated record. NCBI's taxonomy places the organism in Eukaryota, Metazoa, Chordata, Mammalia, Chiroptera, Vespertilionidae. The transcript is spliced from 2 exons.